RNAcentral lists this ribosomal RNA (626 nucleotides) under uncultured Actinomycetales bacterium. RNAcentral describes it as "bacterial SSU rRNA". It matches the Rfam family "Bacterial small subunit ribosomal RNA", at positions 59 to 698 of the family's 1533-position model. The record is from RNAcentral. Lineage: Bacteria; Bacillati; Actinomycetota; Actinomycetes; Actinomycetales.
AAGUCGAACGGAAAGGCCCUGCUUGCAGGGUACUCGAGUGGCGAACGGGUGAGUAACACGUGGGUGAUCUGCCCUGCACUUCGGGAUAAGCUUGGGAAACUGGGUCUAAUACCGGAUAGGACCGCACUUUAGUGUGUGUGGUGGAAAGUUUUUUCGGUGUAGGAUGAGCUCGCGGCCUAUCAGCUUGUUGGUGGGGUAAUGGCCUACCAAGGCGGCGACGGGUAGCCGGCCUGAGAGGGUGUACGGCCACAUUGGGACUGAGAUACGGCCCAGACUCCUACGGGAGGCAGCAGUGGGGAAUAUUGCACAAUGGGCGCAAGCUUGAUGCAGCGACGCCGCGUGGGGGAUGAAGGCCUUCGGGUUGUAAACUCCUUUCGCUAGGGACGAAGCUUUUUGUGACGGUACCUAGAUAAGAAGCACCGGCUAACUACGUGCCAGCAGCCGCGGUAAUACGUAGGGUGCGAGCGUUGUCCGGAAUUACUGGGCGUAAAGGGCUCGUAGGUGGUUUGUCGCGUCGUCUGUGAAAUUCUGGGGCUUAACUCCGGGCGUGCAGGCGAUACGGGCAUAACUUGAGUGCUGUAGGGGUAACUGGAAUUCCUGGUGUAGCGGUGAAAUGCGCAGAUAUC